GACCUGGAGAUUGAGGGGAAGGGAGAGAGCAAACAAAGGGGUCAGGAGGGAAAAUAAUGCACUGGCUUCCUGAGCCCCUGCAGAGGCUGAGCAGGGAGAGGGGGCCAGGGCCAGAGGGGACAGAGGCUGGCGGCAGACAGGCCGGGGCAGGCAGGUCCUAAAUGGCAUUGUUUGAAGGGGCUGGCUAAUUGCACAGAGCAGUCUGAGCCUAAGACCCCAGCCCUGGCCCCCGCCUCUGUCCUGGGUGCUGGCGUCUGAGCCUUCGGGACAACCUGUCCACAUGGAACCAAGUCCUGAGCCUCCGAGCUUGGUGAGGGGGAGGCUAUGGGGGGCAGCCUGGGUGGGGUGCUUGGGCAAGAGCAUCACCCUAAGAAUGCAUCCUGGGGCCUUGGGCUGGGAACAUAGAGCCCAUGGCGGGGCGUCUGGGGGAACACUGCCCCUCUCGUGUCCCUGCUUCCCUUCCACCCCACCCGUUCUGGCUUCUCCCACAGGAAAGCAUGAAGGGAGACACCAGGCAUCUCAACGGAGAGGAGGACGCCGGCGGGAGGGAAGACUCGAUCCUCGUCAAUGGGGCCUGCAGCGACCAGUCCUCCGACUCGCCCCCGAUCCUGGAGGCCAUCCGCACCCCGGAGAUCAGAGGCCGAAGAUCAAGCUCGCGACUCUCCAAGAGGGAGGUGUCCAGUCUGCUAAGCUACACGCAGGACUUGACAGGCGAUGGCGAUGGGGAAGAUGGGGAUGGCUCUGACACCCCAGUGAUGCCAAAGCUCUUCCGGGAAACCAGGACUCGGUCAGAAAGCCCAGCUGUCCGAACUCGAAAUAACAACAGUGUCUCCAGCCGGGAGAGGCACAGGCCUUCCCCACGUUCCACCCGAGGCCGGCAGGGCCGCAACCAUGUGGACGAGUCUCCCGUGGAGUUCCCGGCUACCAGGUCCCUGAGACGGCGGGCAACAGCAUCGGCAGGAACGCCAUGGCCGUCCCCUGCCAGCUCUUACCUUACCAUCGACCUCACAGAUGACACAGAGGACACACGUGUGACGCCCCAGAGCAGCAGUACCCCCUAUGCCCGCCUAGCCCAGGACAGCCAGCAGGAGGGCAUGGAGUCCCCGCAGGUGGAGGCAGACAGUGGAGAUGGAGACAGUUCAGAGUAUCAGGAUGGGAAGGAGUUUGGAAUAGGGGACCUCGUGUGGGGAAAGAUCAAGGGCUUCUCCUGGUGGCCUGCCAUGGUGGUGUCUUGGAAGGCCACCUCUAAGCGACAGGCUAUGUCUGGCAUGCGGUGGGUCCAGUGGUUUGGCGAUGGCAAGUUUUCCGAGGUCUCUGCAGACAAACUGGUGGCACUGGGGCUGUUCAGCCAGCACUUUAAUUUGGCCACCUUCAAUAAGCUCGUCUCCUAUCGAAAAGCCAUGUACCAUGCUCUGGAGAAAGCUAGGGUGCGAGCUGGCAAGACCUUCCCCAGCAGCCCUGGAGACUCAUUGGAGGACCAGCUGAAGCCCAUGUUGGAGUGGGCCCACGGGGGCUUCAAGCCCACUGGGAUCGAGGGCCUCAAACCCAACAACACGCAACCAGUGGUUAAUAAGUCGAAGGUGCGUCGUGCAGGCAGUAGGAAAUUAGAAUCAAGGAAAUACGAGAACAAGACUCGAAGACGCACAGCUGACGACUCAGCCACCUCUGACUACUGCCCCGCACCCAAGCGCCUCAAGACAAAUUGCUAUAACAACGGCAAAGACCGAGGGGAUGAAGAUCAGAGCCGAGAACAAAUGGCUUCAGAUGUUGCCAACAACAAGAGCAGCCUGGAAGACGGCUGUUUGUCUUGUGGCAGGAAAAACCCCGUGUCCUUCCACCCUCUGUUUGAGGGGGGCCUCUGUCAGACAUGCCGGGAUCGCUUCCUUGAGCUGUUUUACAUGUAUGACGACGAUGGCUAUCAGUCUUACUGCACCGUGUGCUGCGAGGGCCGAGAGCUGCUGCUUUGUAGCAACACGAGCUGCUGCCGGUGCUUCUGUGUGGAGUGCCUGGAGGUGCUGGUGGGCACAGGCACAGCGGCCGAGGCCAAGCUUCAGGAGCCCUGGAGCUGCUACAUGUGUCUCCCGCAGCGCUGUCACGGCGUCCUGCGGCGCCGGAAGGACUGGAACGUGCGCCUGCAGGCCUUCUUCACCAGUGACACGGGGCUUGAAUACGAAGCCCCCAAGCUGUACCCUGCCAUUCCCGCAGCCCGAAGGCGGCCCAUUCGAGUCCUGUCAUUGUUUGAUGGCAUUGCGACAGGCUACCUAGUCCUCAAAGAGCUGGGCAUAAAGGUAGGAAAGUACGUCGCCUCUGAAGUGUGUGAAGAGUCCAUCGCUGUUGGAACCGUGAAGCACGAGGGGAAUAUCAAAUACGUGAACGACGUGAGGAACAUCACAAAGAAAAAUAUUGAAGAAUGGGGCCCAUUUGACUUGGUGAUUGGCGGAAGCCCAUGCAACGAUCUCUCAAAUGUGAAUCCAGCCAGGAAAGGCCUGUAUGAGGGUACGGGCCGGCUCUUCUUUGAAUUUUACCACCUGCUGAAUUACUCACGCCCCAAGGAGGGUGAUGACCGGCCGUUCUUCUGGAUGUUUGAGAAUGUUGUAGCCAUGAAGGUUGGCGACAAGAGGGACAUCUCGCGGUUCCUGGAGUGUAAUCCAGUGAUGAUUGAUGCCAUCAAAGUUUCUGCUGCUCACAGGGCCCGAUACUUUUGGGGCAACCUACCUGGGAUGAACAGGCCCGUGAUAGCAUCAAAGAAUGAUAAACUCGAGCUGCAGGACUGCUUGGAAUACAAUAGGAUAGCCAAGGUAAGACGAGCUGUGGCCCUCUGGAAAAAUGCACUUGGUGACCUCCAAGUGGGGACUUGGGAGAUGACCUUGGUGUCUGAUUGGUUCCUACACCUCCCCCCACGUGACUUCCUGGUGUUGGGCUUCUUUCUCCCACACAAUUGUUCUGUGCCAUCCUCAAAUACAGAGACCAGGAGACAUUUGUGAUAAGUAAUCACUACGAGGAAAGGCAACUAAUCUUUCUAAUUUUAGUACUGGAUACAUAAAGACACAGAGAAUUUCAGCUGGCCCUCAGGGAGAAAGGAAUCAUUAAUCCUUUUGCCAAAAAAUGAAUUUGCUGUCAAGUCAUAGAAUAUGAAGACCUCCAUAAACCUAAAUCUCAAUGUUUGCAUCAAGCUAAGAUCCAUUUUCUAAACUCCAGUUGAGCAUUCUCUGUAUCUGGGUGGUUUUUACUUUUUACUUAAUCUUGCUUGAUCAGGAACUCUGGUGUCUUCUUGGCCCCACCACGUGAUCUCAUUCAUGGUCACUUUUUUGUUUAUCUCAUUUUCUCUGAGGCUGGUCCUUCCUGUUAACGUCUUGGCAUUUGUGGGAAGCACAAAAUGUUCUUGUCCCUCCAACUCUGCUUUCCGCUCCCAGCCCUGCCAUUCCUUUCCCGCGCCUGCCCUCUCCCUUCCAUCUUUCCCAGGUACUUUUUUCUCCCAGCCCUGCCACUCUUCUGCCGCGCCUGCGCUCUCCCCUCCAUCUUUCCCAGGUACUUUUUAGCCUUGACCCCACCCAGGUCCCUUCAUUCUGUGCUCACUCCAUGAUGUCGUUUUGUUCUCCAGUUAAAGAAAGUACAGACAAUAACCACCAAGUCGAACUCGAUCAAACAGGGGAAAAACCAACUUUUCCCUGUUGUCAUGAAUGGCAAAGAAGAUGUUUUGUGGUGCACUGAGCUCGAAAGGUGAGCAAGGCUGCACUUGGAGAGGGAAACUGUGCAGAUCAAAACACAAAUGGGCAGACAUGGGCAGGUGCUUACCUUCAUUCUUGAUGGCCUCACUGCCCUUUGGUGUUACUGGGGCGAGGAGUAAUAAUACCUUUUCAUAGUUCGCCCUUAUUUCCUGACAAAAAUGGCGGAGGGGGUGUGGUGGUGGUGAGGAAUCUGAGACAUGAGGUCAUUAGGCCGCACCAUCUGUCUGUUGGCUGCACUGCCCUGACAUCUGCCUGUCCCAACACGCUGGGACACUACGAUGUAUGAGAAGCCAGUGAAAGAAAACUCCACAGACAUGCCAUUCUUGAAGACUUCAGUUUGCUCAUUCUAUAAAUGAUUCCUUCUUAGCCACAGUUUAUCCUCUCCUUCCCUUUCUUUGGGCUAAGUUUGUCUGUUUUGAUGCAAAUAACCAUCUCUUGGAUUUCAGUUCUGUUUUUUCUUUCACUCCUCUGUUUGUUCAUUUUGCUUCUCCUAUUUUUUAAAAAUCAUUAUUUGCUAUAGUGAUGUAAUUAAGGUUUUGAACAUUCCUCUUUACAUGUGUUCUGUAUUCUGAAGGCUUUGAUACAGAGUGUUUUCAUUCCAAAUAUUUCACUUCUACAACUCGUUUACUUUCUACUUUGACUUACCAACAGUUAUAUAACAGAGUAUAAAAGUAACUUCUGAUUAGUAUUUAUGCUGUAGAUUUUUCUGUAUGGACCCAUACCUAAAAUGGUUGGUGCAGAUGGCUGACAUUGUGUAGACGCUAAAGCCAAGCAAGACACAGGCCUGAGGUAUCACAUCUUUGGCAUGUUUCUGAAUAACCCACGCAACCAUUGGCCUGUUGGGAUGACUCGUAGUAUUGGAUUGUGUACCUGAGUAAUACUGAGGUUCAGCCUCUGUGCCCUCUUUCCAGGCCCGGUAGAAUCCUAUAGAGGAAGCUUUUGGUAUAUUUGAUGCCAUCUGCCUGAAGUCGUCUAGCUCAGUCCUUCAUCCAGCAGCUGGGUUUGAAUAGGGAAGGAAAACUGUGGUUGCUGAGCUGUAAAUUGCCUGAGCCUGUGAUGACUGAAAAUCUAGGCUGUUUUUCAGUGACCUUGUUCCUUAUUAAGGAAGUUGCUUAACUUCUCCCAUCAUAGUGUUUUGAAGAUGGAGACAUUGCUGGCUGGCUAAUUUGGUAUGCAUGCAUUUAUUCAAGGAAGGUCCUCUGAGCACCAACUCUAUGCCAAGAGUAUGGUGUUAGGCCUGCACAAAAUGGGGGACUUUGAUUUGUGAGCAAUUUGUGAGCAAGUGUUCUGAAUUAAGGGCUCUGAAUUUAGGUCCUGGGGACCUUACUGAUGGGACUGAGGGAUGGCGAGGGCAGAAGGAGUGGGACCUGGCUGGUUGAGGCUGUCAGCAUCCUGGAGGCACUUCUGACUCGCUGUCUUUUUACUCCGGUACCCCCAGGAUCUUUGGCUUCCCUGUGCACUACACAGACGUGUCCAACAUGGGCCGCGGUGCCCGCCAGAAGCUGCUGGGAAGGUCCUGGAGCGUGCCUGUCAUCCGACACCUCUUCGCCCCUCUGAAGGACUACUUUGCAUGUGAAUAGUUCCAGCCAGGCCCCAAGCCCACUGGGGUGUGUGGCAGAGCCAGGACCCAGGAGGUGUGAUUCCUGAAGGCAUCCCCAGGCCCUGCUCUUCCUUAGCUGUGU
This is an RNA transcript of Cercocebus atys (sooty mangabey), 5410 nucleotides long. It is a transcript of the gene named DNA (cytosine-5-)-methyltransferase 3 beta, with no coding region annotated. The record is from RefSeq and is a predicted model, not a curated record. Lineage: Eukaryota; Metazoa; Chordata; Mammalia; Primates; Cercopithecidae. The transcript has 21 exons.